GCAGUCGUACGCUUCUUUUUCCACCGGAGCUUGCUCCACCGGAAAAAGAAGAGUGGCGAACGGGUGAGUAACACGUGGGUAACCUGCCCAUCAGAAGGGGAUAACACUUGGAAACAGGUGCUAAUACCGUAUAACAAUCGAAACCGCAUGGUUUUGAUUUGAAAGGCGCUUUCGGGUGUCGCUGAUGGAUGGACCCGCGGUGCAUUAGCUAGUUGGUGAGGUAACGGCUCACCAAGGCCACGAUGCAUAGCCGACCUGAGAGGGUGAUCGGCCACAUUGGGACUGAGACACGGCCCAAACUCCUACGGGAGGCAGCAGUAGGGAAUCUUCGGCAAUGGACGAAAGUCUGACCGAGCAACGCCGCGUGAGUGAAGAAGGUUUUCGGAUCGUAAAACUCUGUUGUUAGAGAAGAACAAGGAUGAGAGUAACUGUUCAUCCCUUGACGGUAUCUAACCAGAAAGCCACGGCUAACUACGUGCCAGCAGCCGCGGUAAUACGUAGGUGGCAAGCGUUGUCCGGAUUUAUUGGGCGUAAAGCGAGCGCAGGCGGUUUCUUAAGUCUGAUGUGAAAGCCCCCGGCUCAACCGGGGAGGGUCAUUGGAAACUGGGAGACUUGAGUGCAGAAGAGGAGAGUGGAAUUCCAUGUGUAGCGGUGAAAUGCGUAGAUAUAUGGAGGAACACCAGUGGCGAAGGCGGCUCUCUGGUCUGUAACUGACGCUGAGGCUCGAAAGCGUGGGGAGCAAACAGGAUUAGAUACCCUGGUAGUCCACGCCGUAAACGAUGAGUGCUAAGUGUUGGAGGGUUUCCGCCCUUCAGUGCUGCAGCUAACGCAUUAAGCACUCCGCCUGGGGAGUACGACCGCAAGGUUGAAACUCAAAGGAAUUGACGGGGGCCCGCACAAGCGG
This 904-nucleotide ribosomal RNA is filed under the name Enterococcus durans. RNAcentral describes it as "bacterial SSU rRNA". It matches the Rfam family "Bacterial small subunit ribosomal RNA", at positions 57 to 932 of the family's 1533-position model. Lineage: Bacteria; Bacillati; Bacillota; Bacilli; Lactobacillales; Enterococcaceae. The record is from RNAcentral.